UUAUAUUCUCCGCCGGGGGGAUGAGAACCCCCGACCGGGGUUCGACAACUGGCGCAGCCAGUUGGACAGACCGCGAGCCCGCGAGCGGGCUGCCCCGCAGGGGCGAGCGAAGCGAGUCAAUCCCCCCUCACCGCCA
Molecule: small RNA, 136 nt
Filed under: Klebsiella variicola
Lineage: Bacteria; Pseudomonadati; Pseudomonadota; Gammaproteobacteria; Enterobacterales; Enterobacteriaceae
Also listed under: 2 other names
Description: RtT sRNA
Rfam family: RtT RNA
About the family: This family represents a bacterial cis-regulatory element known as RtT RNA. The exact function of RtT is unknown although it is thought that it may be involved in changing the cellular response in relation to amino acid starvation.
Source: RNAcentral